RNAcentral lists this ribosomal RNA (588 nucleotides) under uncultured Actinomyces sp. RNAcentral's name for it is "bacterial SSU rRNA". It matches the Rfam family "Bacterial small subunit ribosomal RNA", at positions 188 to 776 of the family's 1533-position model. The record is from RNAcentral. Lineage: Bacteria; Bacillati; Actinomycetota; Actinomycetes; Actinomycetales; Actinomycetaceae.
UAUGGGGGUAGGUGGAAAAGGGUUUUUCUGGUNNNGNAUGGGCUCGCGNCNUAUCAACUUGUUGGNGGNCUGAUGGCNUACCAAGGCUUUGACGGGUAGCCGNCCUGAGAGGGUGACCGGUCACANUGGGACUGAGAUACGGCCCAGACUCCUACGGGAGGCAGCAGUGGGGAAUAUUGCACAAUGGGCGCAAGCCUGAUGCAGCGACGCCGCGUGAGGGAUGGAGGCCUUCGGGUUGUGAACCUCUUUCGCUCAUGGUCAAGCCGCAACAAUGGUUGUGGUGAGGGUAGUGGGUAAAGAAGCGCCGGCUAACUACGUGCCAGCAGCCGCGGUAAUACGUAGGGCGCGAGCGUUGUCCGGAAUUAUUGGGCGUAAAGGGCUUGUAGGCGGUUGGUCGCGUCUGCCGUGAAAUCCUCUGGCUUAACUGGGGGCGUGCGGUGGGUACGGGCUGACUUGAGUGCGGUAGGGGAGACUGGAACUCCUGGUGUAGCGGUGGAAUGCGCAGAUAUCAGGAAGAACACCGGUGGCGAAGGCGGGUCUCUGGGCCGUUACUGACGCUGAGGAGCGAAAGCGUGGGGAGCGAACAGG